UUUAGCUUAGUGGCAUAAGCGCCUGCCUGGCAAAUGCAAAGUCGAAAAUUUGAUCCCCAGUAUGGGAAAAAAUAAAUAAAUAAAAAUGCAUAUACUGUAUUGCUAAGCCAGAAUACAAAGAAGGGAUACACAUGAUCUCAUUGAAAUGAAUAUUUUAUUUUAUUUAUUUUUUGGUACUGGGCAUUGAACUCAGGACCUUGUGUUUUCCAGGCAGGAGCUUGUGCCACUGAGCUAAAUCCCUGGCCCCUUAGUGAUAAUGUUUUAGAUAUAUUGGGUUACAUGAGACAUUAUUAAAAUUAGGUCACUAUUUCUUUUUACUUUUUAUUGUGGCUACUUUAGAAUUCCCCACAUGAACUACACAUGGUGGCACGGAUUUAUAAUCCCAGUGACUGGGGAAGUCAGGUGUCUCCCCCAGGUUUUGUCACAAGAACUAAAUUGGCAGCUGGGCCAAGCACCAAGCAGUGGUGGCUGUGUGCCUGGCCCUCCACUAUGGCCAGUGGGGCCAGGUGAACCUGGACUUUGCAGGGCAGGGUCCAUCUGUGCCCAGCUGCCAUAGCUCAGCAGGCCUUGUGGCUCUGCACUCAGAGAGGCGUCACUCAGUGCCUAGGGAGGUGAGGACAGAGGACAGGCUGUGUGGGCAGCAGGAACAGGACCCUGUGCAGAGACGGAGAAGAGCCUUGGAACAGCAGCCCUGGCCUGCAGCCACAUCCGCAGGCCCACAGGCUGUCACACUCAGGGAGGACUUAAAUCAUUGCCUCGGUCUCUUUCCUCUCUGAGAACCCCAGUUACACAGGAUCUGGAUGAGGGGGACCCCAGCACUGUGCAAAGGGCAGCCACUGGGGUUCAGGUGGGUUGGAGGUGGCCUGCUGCAGAAAUAGCCUGGGAAGCAGGAGAGGUCCUGGGGACUUGCCCAUCUCAUGCAGCUCUGGUGAGCAGGGAGCCCCUUCUCUGGAAGCCUGGCCUCCUUCCAUCUGGGGUGGCAUGAAAAGGCAUCCCCCUACACCCCAUCCCCCCAGGGCUGGGCAGCCUCCUACCGUGGUCCUUUCCCCAGCCUGCUUCAGGAUUAACUCAGGGCUUUUCUAAGGCAGGGAACAGAGCCCUCAGGCCCUCAUGUCCAGAGUGAUGAAACCCAGGGGGCUCAGGUCAGAGGCCCAGAAAGGAGACCCGGGAGCCCAAGAAUAGCAUUCCAGGUGGAGAUGCUGAGAGCCUGUCCGGUCAGAGCACAAGUGAUGAGGGCCAGAGCUCUCUCCUAGGCCUUCUGCAGCGCUCAGCAGUUCCCACAGUGUGGAAAAAUAGGCAGCCAGUGUGGCAGGCGCCUGUAAUCCCAGCACUGAGGAGGCUGAGGCAGGAGGACCGUGAGUUCAAGUCAAGGCUACAUAGUGGGUGUAAGCCCAACCUGGGCCAGACAGCAAGAUCCCGCACUGCCCCCCCCCCACCUCACCCCGCUAAGAAAGAAGAAAGGGAGGGACAAAGAAGAUGGCUUCUCUUGUGCGGUAGAUACGGAAUGUGUAUCCUGGCUGCAUCCCAGCCAGGAAAUUUAUGGCCUACCGGUGACCUUCCACAGGCCCAUCGCGCAGAGGUGGCUAGUGCACCCGGCCUCCCUGCCGCUGUCCUGGACUCUGCGUCGGCCAGGCUGGGCUGCUGGCUAGGAGGAUGGGCUGGGGUCAGCGGAGACCAGCAGCCCGCAGUGCCGCAGACGCAGCCCCAGCCCCCAGUUAGCCUCCUUUGUUUUAUGUCUAAUUAUAAAAGCAAUUCAUACUCCUUGUAAAAUCUGGAAACUAUAGGAAGGUAGAAAAGGAGAAAAUGAGAGCCAUCCGGUUCCGAUUCCGGUUCCGGUUCCGGUUCCCGCAGCCCUGCGCUGUGCAGCCUGCAGCUCGCUGUGACCCGGUGGGCUCUCCCUGCACUGCACUGUCCUGAGCCCUCCUGGAAGCUGUGAGAUUUUCUUUAAAGUAUUUAAUGACUCGCUAAUAGGCUAUUAAUAAUUCACUUAGCCCUUCUAGUUCCUCUGUUCACCCUGCUAAAUUGAUUCUGCCAUAUACAGGGGACUGAACCCACAGCGUUUGCAUCCACACCCCCACACUUUUUUUACUUUUAUUUUUUUGAGACAAUGCCUCACUGUGUAGUGCAGGUUGACCUUGAACUCACUAUGUAGCCCAGGCUGGCAUCCAAUUUAGGGCAAUCUUCCUGUCUCAGCCUCCCUAGUGCUGGGAUCACAGGCAUAUGACACCAUGCCUAGCUAUGGCCUCAGAAUCUUAAAAGGUAGGGCUGGGGAUUUAGCUCAGCGGCAUAAGCGCCUGACUUGCAAGCAGGCAGUCAUGAGUUCGAUCCCCGGUACCGAUAAAAAGUUAAAAAAAAAAAAAAAAAGAAUUUUAAAAGGGCUGGGAUGAAGCUCAGUGGAUUCAAUAUCCAGUACUUCAGGAAUCAGUCACCAGCAUAGUGGUUUACACCUCUAAUCCUAGUACCUGGCAGGCUGAGGCAGGAGGAUCACCAUCAGUUCAAGUCCAGGCUCAACUACAUAGUGUCUCAAAAAACCAAACAAGAGCUUCAAUUUUCCUUUUCAUUCUGUCCUGUGCUGUGAGUUCUCUGAGAACAAAGAUGAGCACUGCUUAUCUUGGAGCCCCCAGUGGCCAGCAGAGCAAUGGGCACAGGGAGAGGGUCCUCAGUGCGUAGAUGAUGGAGGCCAGGUGAACUGAAGGAGCAUCAAGUCCUGCGAGGUGGACUGGGAGUGUUUCUCUGCUUUGCCCCCCUCUCCCUGAGGGCUUGUGUGUUCUCGUCCUCCUUCCCUUCCUCACGGCCAGAACUGACCAUGGGGGAGCUUUAGACUCCCAACCAUGUGACUCCACAGGUCACUUGCCCUCCUUGGUGUCUGGUGUCCCCUGUGUCGGCUGAUGAGGGGCUUGGAUGGCCUUGGACUGGGGCUGGCCACGCAGGGAGCAGAGGGUUGGGAUCCCCAAGACCCUGGCAUCUGACCCGGGUACCUUGCCUGUGCUGUCACUCUGUGCCCCUUCUGCCGCCAAGGGCACACAGUGCAGCUGGGCCCAGCUGGAGGUGGCCCGGCCCCUCUGCAGUGCUGUUCUCUGCCGCCCUGGUGCUCGGCUCCAGGCAGCCUUCAGCAGGCUGCCCAGGAUAGAGCCGGGUGCUCCACUUCCUGUCACUGUUUCCUGGGCUUCCAGGCUUUGUGGCGGGCAGGGAGCUGAGGAUUGAACCCAGGGCUUCUCACUGACCUGCACUACCAACCCUUUGUGUUCUUUUGAUUUUGAGACAAGGUCUUACUGAAUUGCCCAGGCUGGGUUUGAAUUUGUAAUCCUGCCUCAGCCUCCUAGAGUGCUGGGAUUACAGGCAUGGCUUCCAGGCUUUAAAUUAAGGGAAAUGAAAUUGGGCUAAAGCCCUGCAGGUCAGCUAAGAGCACCAAGCGAGAUGACAGAACUGUGUGGCCACUGUCACCCACCCUGCUCAGAUUAUGAUGAUAUAGGGAAAAACUAUGUCACUCCCAACCUGCUAGAUGUUGGACAGGCCGAGUUCAUGUUCCCCAAAGUCAAAGAAUGAAUUCUAAGGACCAGUGGAGGUGAACAGUAGGAAAAUUCACUCUCAGCACUGGGGAGGUUGAGGCAGGAGGAUCACUGCAAGUUUGAGGUCAGUUUGGCUACAGAAUGAGUUCAGGGCCAGGGCUUUAGGAGUUAGCUCAGUAGCCUAAGUGCCUGCCUGGGAAGCACAAGGUCAUGAGUUUGAUCCAAAGGAGUUCAAGGCCAGCCUAGACUACAUAGUGAGACUCGUCUCAAAUAAACAAACAAGAAACCCAGGAAAAUUUAUUGAGGAAUAGGAGUAGGUCCCAAGAGAUAGGAGGGGUCCUGAGUGGGUUACCAAUGAGCCAGUUUCUCAAAGGAAGUUUUAUACAGCAAAGUCACAAGGUGGAUACAACAUGGGUCAAAUCAUAAUCAGCCAGUAAGAUUAAAAGUAGCAGAGCCACUUAACUAAUAUUAAUACAGUAUGGCAAGGGCAUAUGGAAGACAUCAUUAACCUUAGUUGAUAACCUUAGUUGAUAGUCUUAGUCUUAGUGUUAGUUUUAGUGGGUGGCAGAGGAUGGUUCACCCCUAUGAUAUAAUGAUUUAUUUGUAUGGGAAAUCUCAAAAGACUGAUACCAAUAAUGUGAGGCUUCUUCAGGGAAGUAUGUAAAUCUAGCUAUGUAUAAUAUUAAUACAAGACCACUUCUAAAAUGUAGGUAGAAGUGUGGGCUGGGUGUGGUGGCCCACACUUAUAAUCCCAGCCCUUAGGAGGCUGAGGCAGGAGGAUCACUGUGAGUUCAAGGCCAGCCUGAACUGCAUAGUGAACUGUCUAAAAAAGACAAAAAUCCCAAAACAGGUAGGAGCAUGGGCCCUAGCCUGCUCCUGUCCUGCUGGUGUGUCCCUGGAUGUCCACUCGCCCCUCAGGGCUCCUGGGAAGGCCUGCUUAGGUCGCCUAGCCUAACCCUGACUGUGGCCCUCAGCAGCUGCCCCCGGUGUCUCCACCGCCAGCACCCGGGGCCCCAUUUGUCCAUCUGCACCCGGAGCCCGGGAUCCCCCUCAUUACUGCAGCUCAUCAGGAAGAUGAAAUGGGAAGCCAUGAGCCCCACCCGGCCUGCGCGCCUGGCCUGUUCGCAGUGCGGCCUUCUCUGUGUUGGGCAGGAAGGAUUCCUUUGUUGGUUUUUGCUGGCAGAAGCAAAGCCAGGUUGAGGACGUCCCUCACGCCCCAGGCCUCCUGCCCAGGGCUUCUCCUUGCUCAGAUAGGACAGUGGCGCAGGCGGCAGCAGGGUGACCUUCGUCAAGCUAGAAAUGCAUUCCCAGCGUUGCCGGAGGGGGCUGGGGAGGGCUGCGCUGCUGCAGCUGCCACCGGCUGCCCCCAGGCACCAGGCAGCCGAGGUGGGGGCUGGGCUGCAGCUGCAGCUGUGGUCAGGUCCGGCGGGCUGUGCGCUGGGUCUCCCACCCCUGUGGCCAGCAGCUUUGCCCUGGGAUGGGAGCUCCCAGAGAGGCCUACGAAAACACUGUAGGUUUCUUUCUGCCUGUGAGAGUAAUUCUUGUUUAUUAUGGGAAAAAUAAAUUGGAGUACUCAGUAAAAUACAAACCCAGAGCACUCUGCAUCCCUAUCUCUCAUAAAAACAUGUAGGGAACAUUUCUUUUUUGUUGGGGGGUGCUGGGGAUUGAACUUACGACCUUUCAUUUGCUAGGCAGGCACUUAUGCCACUGAGCUAAAUCCAUGGCCCUUAAUGGAAUAUUUCUACCUAAGAGUAGUGGCACAUAUCUGUAGUCCCAGCACUUGGGAGGCUGAGGCAGGAGUAUUGCCAGCCUGGGCUGCAUAGUGAGACCCUGUGUCAAAAAACUGACAAAAAAAUUGUAACAAUUAUACUUUAUUUUAAAACCUUUUUUAUUGGGGGCUGGGGAUUUAGCUCAGCGGCAUAAGCACCUGCCUUGCAAAUAGGCAGUCAUGAGUUUGAUCCCUGGUACCGGUAAAAAACAAAAAGAGAAAAAAAAAUUUUUAAAAAACAACCUUUUUUUAUUGUGAAAUAUGACAUACAGAAAGUACACGUAAAAUAAUUGUAGGGCAAACACCCUUGGAACCAGCAGAUGAGGAUACAGGACUUGGCCAGCUGCCCUCGAAGCCCUGUGUCCCAACUCAGUCACAGCUCUCUGUGUCCAGCCCCCUGACCAUUGUUCAGCUUGUGUGCAGCACUGGGCACGCAACCCCAGCUAAACUAGAGCUGUGACCUGGGCCACAUCCCAGCCCCCAACUUCUGAGACAGUCGCUUUCUUUAUGGUUAUCACUGAAGUGUGCACCCCUAGACUGUAAAUGUACCUUUUUCAUUUUAUUUUAUUUGAGACAGGUUUUCACUAUGUGUUUCAGGCUGGCCUUGUGCUCACUGUGUAGCCCAAACUGGCCUCAAACUCAAGGUGAUCCUCUUGCCUCAGCUUCUAGACUGUGCUGGGAUUACAGGCAUGGACCACCAUAACCAGUGUUGGAGAUCAAAACAAGGGCUUUGAACAUGCCAGGAAAAUGCUCUACCACUGUACGACAUUCCCCAGCCUUUAAAAAAUUCUAUUUUGGAGAGUGUGGAAUGGGGAGAACCAGCAUGGAAACUGAGCCCUGCCUGUGAGCCAGCCUGAAGCCAGGAGUCGGAGCAACUACUUAUUUAGUUAUUUUAUGCUUUUUUUUUCAAUUUUUUUUCACUUUAAGGUUGACAGUAUAUUCUGGAGAUCAUUUAUACGCAGUAUAACAAUAUAUCUCAUUCCUAUCAUAAAAACACGUAUCAUUAUCACACGGAUAAAAUAGUCUUGCCAACAGAGCACUGGCAAGCAUAUGAUUUGGUUUUGGUUUCUUUCUUUUUUUUUUCAAAUCCAUUUUAUUCAGACAUAAAAAGGAAAAAACUACAAUAAAAUUUCAAGGCACAUCAAUCAGGGGGUAACAAUGGUACAUACAUUGCACAUUGUCAUCCCCAAAUCAUUCACCCAGAGCCCAAGACAUCUGCAUUCAAUUGUCUGAACAGCAGCAGCACAAAUCUUUUUCUUCAGUGAACAGUUAACUAUCUUAACUAUUUUUAUAUACACACAUAUAUAUAUAUCCAUACAUAUACAUGUGUUUUUUUAAUUUCAGCUUGUCACACUAAUGAAGCAAUACAAUGUUUACAUAUGUGUGUUAUUUUUUUUUUUUUUUUUUUUGUCUUUUUCCUUUUUAUCGGUACCGGGGAUCAAACUCACGACUGCCUGCUUGCAAGGCAGGUGCUUAUGCCGCUGAGCUAAACCUCCAGCCUCUGAUAUGUGUGUUAUUUAUUUUACUAAUGAGUAUGUCCUCAAGGUGCAUCCAUUUACCUAUAAAAGUGUCCAGUUUUCAUUUUUAUGGCUAAGUAGUAUUCCAUUGUAUAGAAAUAUCACAUAUUUUUUAUCCAUCCUUCAGUCAAUGGGUAUUUAGGUUGUUUCCAAGAUCUGGCUAUUAUAUAAACUGUGCUGCUAUAAACAUGGGUGCACAUAUAUCACUGUGGUAUGGUGUUUUUAAUUCUUUUGGGAAGAUACCCAGAAGGGGAAUAGCUGGGUUGAAAGGGACCUCCAGUCCUAGUUUUUGAGGAAUCUCCACACUGAUUUCCACAGUGGUUGCACCAGUCUGCAUUCCUACCAACAGUGGAGAAGGGUUCCUUUUGUCCCCACAGCCCCUCCAGCAUUUGUUAUUGGUUGAUUUCUUAAUACUAGCCAUUCUUUCUGGGGUGAGGUAGAAUUCAGUGUUGUUUUAAUUUGCAUGUCUUGAAUGACCAGUGAGGUUGAACAUUUUUCAUGUAUUUAUUUGCUAUUUGUAUUUCUUCAUCAGAAAAGUGUGUAUUCAUCUCAGGUGCCCGUUUUUGGAUUGGGCUGGGCAACUACUUAGAGGACAGAAUAUGCAGUAUAGUAAGGAUUGUAGGCUUCCUACCAUCUUAUCACUGUUUUGUUUCAUUUUAUUGUUUUGUUUCCUUUAAAAUAAGAAUAAAUACAUAAAUUAAAAAUUUGUUUUGGGGGCUGGGGAUUUAGUUCGGUGGCAUAAGUGCCUUGCAAGCAGGCAGUCGUGAGUUCGAUCCCUGGUACCCAUAAAAGACAAAAAAAUAAAAUAAAAUAAAAAUACAUUUUAAAAAA
Molecule: long non-coding RNA, 7625 nt
Organism: Cavia porcellus (domestic guinea pig)
Lineage: Eukaryota; Metazoa; Chordata; Mammalia; Rodentia; Caviidae
Exons: 2
Source: RefSeq, a predicted model, not a curated record